Molecule: ribosomal RNA, 491 nt
Filed under: uncultured bacterium
Lineage: Bacteria
Description: partial 16S ribosomal RNA
Rfam family: Bacterial small subunit ribosomal RNA
Source: RNAcentral
AGUGAACGCUGGCGGCAGGCCUAACACAUGCAAGUCGAACGGCAGCACAGUAAGAGCUUGCUCUUACGGGUGGCGAGUGGCGGACGGGUGAGGAAUACAUCGGAGUCUACUUUUUCGUGGGGGAUAACGUAGGGAAACUUACGCUAAUACCGCAUACGACCUACGGGUGAAAGCAGGGGAUCUUCGGACCUUGCGCGAUUGAAUGAGCCGAUGUCGGAUUAGCUAGUUGGCGGGGUAAGGCCCACCAAGGCGACGAUCCGUAGCUGGUCUGAGAGGAUGAUCAGCCACACUGGAACUGAGACACGGUCCAGACUCCUACGGGAGGCAGCAGUGGGGAAUAUUGGACAAUGGGCGCAAGCCUGAUCCAGCCAUACCGCGUGGGUGAAGAAGGCCUUCGGGUUGUAAAGCCCUUUUGUUGGGAAAGAAAAGCAGCAGGUUAAUACCCCGCUGUUCUGACGGUACCCAAAGAAUAAGCACCGGCUAACUUCGUG